UGGCGAACGGGUGAGUAACGCGUGAGGAACCUGCCUCAAAGAGGGGGACAACAGUUGGAAACGACUGCUAAUACCGCAUAAGCCCACGGGUCGGCAUCGACCUGAGGGAAAAGGAGCAAUCCGCUUUGGGAUGGCCUCGCGUCCGAUUAGCUAGUUGGUGAGGUAACGGCCCACCAAGGCGACGAUCGGUAGCCGGACUGAGAGGUUGAACGGCCACAUUGGGACUGAGACACGGCCCAG
RNAcentral lists this ribosomal RNA (240 nucleotides) under uncultured bacterium. RNAcentral describes it as "partial 16S ribosomal RNA". It matches the Rfam family "Bacterial small subunit ribosomal RNA", at positions 96 to 334 of the family's 1533-position model. The record is from RNAcentral.